This 392-nucleotide ribosomal RNA is filed under the name Escherichia coli. RNAcentral describes it as "partial 23S ribosomal RNA". It matches the Rfam family "Bacterial large subunit ribosomal RNA", at positions 801 to 1191 of the family's 2925-position model. The record is from RNAcentral. Lineage: Bacteria; Pseudomonadati; Pseudomonadota; Gammaproteobacteria; Enterobacterales; Enterobacteriaceae.
CGGAUGACUUGUGGCUGGGGGUGAAAGGCCAAUCAAACCGGGAGAUAGCUGGUUCUCCCCGAAAGCUAUUUAGGUAGCGCCUCGUGAAUUCAUCUCCGGGGGUAGAGCACUGUUUCGGCAAGGGGGUCAUCCCGACUUACCAACCCGAUGCAAACUGCGAAUACCGGAGAAUGUUAUCACGGGAGACACACGGCGGGUGCUAACGUCCGUCGUGAAGAGGGAAACAACCCAGACCGCCAGCUAAGGUCCCAAAGUCAUGGUUAAGUGGGAAACGAUGUGGGAAGGCCCAGACAGCCAGGAUGUUGGCUUAGAAGCAGCCAUCAUUUAAAGAAAGCGUAAUAGCUCACUGGUCGAGUCGGCCUGCGCGGAAGAUGUAACGGGGCUAAACCAUG